Rattus norvegicus (Norway rat) is the source of this 8535-nucleotide long non-coding RNA. RefSeq lists it as uncharacterized. NCBI's taxonomy places the organism in Eukaryota, Metazoa, Chordata, Mammalia, Rodentia, Muridae. The record is from RefSeq and is a predicted model, not a curated record.
GAAGAGGAGGGGAAAGAGGAGAAUAAAUCUUUGAAAGAAAAACAGAAAAAUCAGAUCUCUGACCCCAUAAUCCAGCUUUCUGUGUGAAGAAAAUGACCCGGGUUUACAUAGUGAGGAAAGAGAGGAACAGUGGGCAUGUGACAAGAGGUGCACUCAUAAAUCACAGCACAGCCAGGCUGAGGGCACUGUCCAGCCUGGGGGCACCAUCCAGGCUGGGGGCACCGUCGUGGUUGCAAGCCACGUACGUUCCCAUGCCCAUCAUAAAAUAGUGAGUGAAAGCCAGCCAUGAAGGCAGUAUGCAUGCACACGAUACGCAUAUAUUCAUGGGUUCAGGUGAACGGGAUCACCAAGCAUUGUGAGCAUGAAGGCAACCCUCUGCCUCCUUUCCCCAAGCAGGCAGCCCCUCCCUCUGCGGUGGCAGCCCCUCCCUCUUCGGUGGCAGCCCCUCCCUCUUCGGUGGCAGCCCCUCCCUCUACGGUGGCAGCCCCUCCCUCUGCGGUGGUAGCCACUCAGUGUUAUUCCCCUGUGUGCUUUUAAAUAUUUACUACCUCUGGAUGCACCCAUAAGCAGGGCCUAACACUACGGUGCAUUUUUACGUCUUAAUAAACAGGAGGCAGCUUGGUGGGACCCACUCCCUCUCAGCCAACACCGGGUGUGAGCAUUUAAUCUAUCUUGAUAACUUGCAUCGUGAGUUCAUUAAUUUUAACUGCUGUCAAGAAUUCCAUUUCCGAGAGUGGGCCCCGUUUUAUUUCCUCUCCCUCUGGCUGGUAAAAGCUGAGGUUAUUGACAAGGCUGUUGGCUCUGACGUGCUGGGUCCUGCGGCUUUCCUUGUGUACACAAGUGAGGCUGUCUCUGGGGAUCUGAAGCCCGGCACCCAGCAGCCAAGGUUCCCUCUUCCGGGACACUGCUUUGUGCUUCUAGGUCGGCACUAAGGGGAGUGUAGCUGUCUCAUUUGCUUCCCCAGAGGGCUUGGCUCUCGAGCUUUCCCGGCUGCUAGGAGGACACAGUGUCUCCAGAUGAGGAUCUGGAGGCCAUUAUCCUUCCCUGUCCUGUGACCGUGCAGUGCCCUGCACUCUGUCAGACGCCACCACUAGAUACUCAGAACCUGGACCUCACCUCUGAUCCAAGUCAGGGUGUCUGUUGGACAAAAUGAAGCCUCCUGCCUGUAAUUCCCAGGGUGUGGAUCUUGCUCUUCAGAACAGAGGGCAGCCUAAGACAUUAAGGGCAGUGUAAGGAGAGCUGGCAGUGAGACAACUCUGAGGUAAGGGUGUAAGACUGCAGACUGCAGCACAGGCAAGCACCUCCAGGGGGCCCAGUAGGCUCCCGGGACUUGGGGGAGGAGGCUGGCUGACCACUCUGAGGUGUGAGCCCAAGGUUGCAGGGCACCCUGGUCCUGACUCAGAUGCAGGUCUGGGAGAUGCUCCUCUCUGAUUUUUGAAAGGGCAGCAUUCACUGGUCUGUGGGCUCCUAGCAGGUUCCUGUCCCCUGAGGUCUGAUGCCUCCCUGUCUCAAAAUGGGAUGCAGGAGGCUUAAAAUGAGAAAGCCUGUUCCAGAACAUGUGGCUUAUGGGAAAGCUGUGGCCAAAUCAAUGAUAAAAACCCUUGAGCAAACACGGCUACUUUUAAUAUUUUUUUAAAUGUUCUGAUUUGGAUUGCAAAAGAAAUUAAAUUAAGAACUGAGACUCCAGGUCAGAGCCCGGCUGCUCUCACUGGUUUUUAAUCUCCCAUUAAAUGAUAUUUCUUCUGAUAGCUUUAGUCAGCUUGUUCAAUGUAAUGACCCAGGACAUGCAGCCUGCUGACCCUCACUCCUUCUCUGUAGUCAAGGAGAGGGUACCACAGGCAGCCAAGUUAACAUGCCUCUUAGCAUGACAGUGGGUAGAUGGGCCACAGUAACAGAAGCUGAGGAGCAGGCAUAGCAGAAUUGUGUAAGCAUUGCUUAAUCCCAAAUUAGAGGUGAGCCACCUGAAACUCAAGAAAGUAAGAAUUUUUCUUUUUUCUUUUUUUUUUUUUUUUUUGCUUUUUUUCGGAGCUGGGGACCGAACCCAGGGCCUUGCGCUUCCUAGGCAAGCGCUCUACCACUGAGCUAAAUCCCCAACCCCAAAGUAAGAAUUUUUCUAAGCCACAGAAGCCAGUGUAAAACCCAGGUGUCUUAGUCAGGGUUCCUGUUCCUGCACAAACAUCAUGACCAAGAAGCAAGUUGGGGAGGAAAGGGUUUACUCAGCUCACACUUCCACAUGGCUAUUCAUCACCAAAGGAAGUCAGGACUGGAACUCAAGCAGGUCAGGAAGCAGGAGCUGAUGCAGAGGCCAAGGAGGGUGCUGCUUCCUGGCUUGCUUCCCCUGACUUGCUUAUAGAACCCAGGACCACUAGUCCAGGGAUGGCUCCACCCACAAUGGGCCAGAUCCUCCCACUCUUGAUCACUAAUUGAGGAAAUGCCUUACAGCUGGGUCUCAUGGAGGCAUUUCCUCAAGGGAGGCUCUUUUCUCUGUGAUGACUCCAGCUUGUGUCAAGUUGACAUACACGCCCAGUCAGGACACCAGGUGUGAGGACAUCCAGCCAUAGGUGUGGGAUGAACCCACUGCUCUAGUGUGGUCCCCAAAUCUCCACUGGCUUUCAGGGUAUCGCUGGGGACAGAGAGCUCAGUCUGGGAGAAAGGCUGGCUCUCCAUCUCUGAGAUCUUGUUUGAUGAGAGUCACAGUUCUCACACCUGGGCCCUUCCUGCCUGUGAUGGCAGACAAAGACACAAACAGCAAUGCUGAAAAGGUCAGAUCUGAGCUACAAAGGAAGUUCAGUACACAUUUUGUGAGAACAAGGCUGGGUGGCUGGGUGGCUGGGUAACAGUGCUGAAGUCUUCAUGGAGGAUGUGGUGGUUUGAAUAAGAAUGGCUCACCUAUUGAUCGCUUAGUCAUCAGGAGUGGCACUACUUGAGAAGGAUUAGGAGGCAUGACCUUAACAGAGGAAAUGCGUCACUGGGGAUAGACUUUGAGGUUUCAAGAGCCCAAUCCAGGCCUAGUCUCUCUCUCUCUCUCUCUCUCUCUCUCUCUCUCUCUCUCUCUCUCUCUCUUUUCUUUUUUUUCGGAGCUGGGGACCGAACCCAGGGCCUUGCAUUUGCUAGGCAAGCGCUCUACCACUGAGCUAAAUCCCCAACCCCAAGGCCUAGUGUCUCUUUCAGCUGCCUGUGGAUCCGGAUACAGAACUCUCAGCUUCUCUAGCAUCAUGUCUGCCUGCACCCUGCCAUGCUUCCUGCCAUGAUGAUAGUGGACUGAACCACUGAACUGUAAGCCAGCCCCAGUUAAAUUCUCUCUUUUAUAAGAGCUGCUGUGGUCGUAGUGUCUCUUCUCAGCAAGAGAAAUUGCCUGUUUCAUCGGCAGACAUAAUACUGUCCGGAACAAGGACAUACUGUGUGAAAUAGUCGACUGAUAGUUCUGCCAAGAGAGGGUAAACUGUCCUUCAUAAUCCUGCUUUACAAAGGUCUGUCAGGGGAACCUGGGCCAAAAAGCUGAUGUCAGAUGCUCCAACGUUAUAAGACAUUAGGGGUUGUCCACGUGGUCUGCUGUCUCUACAACUGUUUAAGUUUGAGAAGCUAUGUUGGGUGCUUCCUACAUACUCAGGUAAUGUUUAAGUCAUUCCCAGAUUUCUGACGGGGUUGAAGACUGGUUAUAGUCUCAUAGUCAAACUCAUGCUAUUUAACAUCAAGAGAGAAGUUAUAGGGUGGAAGACAUGUUUUUCAGGUGUGCUACAGGCUAAAAUCCAAACAUAGCCCAGGAAUGAGGGUAGAGGACUUUGUCUCACUGACAAAUAUGACGGACUGGAUGUCAUUUGUGUAUCACACUGAGUAAUUUACAUAAAUGUUAUAGUUUUGUUCAAUUCAUGUCUGGAGAAGAGGGUUUUUUUUUCCCACUUUUUUUUCUUUUCUUUUUUUCGGAGCUGGGGACCGAACCCAGGGCCUUGUGCUUGCUAGUCCAUUUUUUUAUUGGAGAGAAAAGGUGAGGUGUAGGGUGGUUCUAAUGCUAAGGCUCUCCUCCCUAAUUUGUUCUUGAUCCAUCAGUAAAGAUGCUAGAGGCCAGUGAGCUGUGCAGAAUAGACUAAACUUCUGAGUCCCUGAAGGCAAGCUAGCAGACGAGAGAGAGAGAGAGAGAGAGAGAGAGAGAGAGAGAGAGAGAGAGAGAGAGAUGGGCAGAGCAACCAUAGGCAGCUUCUCCAGCUGGGAGGCUGGAGUUUGCUUCAUCUGUGGAUCCAAUAUUCUGUGUGUCAGGGCUGGUAGCGUUGUUCGUUCCCAGAGCUUAGAGCAGGGCAGCAAAAGCUACACACACAGCAGAGAAUACUAAGACGGAGAUGGGAACCUCAAGAGGAAGCCAGCCUUGGCUGAGGUAGAAGAUCUAAUGAUGAGGGAGGGUAGAGCUAUUGAGAAAGAUGACUUUCAAGGUGUGUGUCUUCUGAGUGAUGACUUGCAAGGUGUGUGCCCUCUGAGUUGUAGAGGCCGUGCCUCCACCAGACCUGUGUGCACCGUCACACACACCAGACCUGUGUGCACACACACCUAGUUGUACUUCCUUAGCCCCCCCCACCAUAGGCCUUGUGAGGUGUGGGCAUCACGAAUAGCAUGCAGACAUGUGCAUAUACACCCAUGCCAAUGUUCUCACUAUGCACACCAACCUGGGAGUUCAUGAACCGUCAUCCUGGAGAAAGUUCCCAAGGAUCCUGUGGUCCUACACAGAGCAAGAAGGACUAUCCUUUUUCUCUACUUAGAGAGGCUGAGUCUUGGAGGAGGGGUGAUUUCUGUGAAGGAAAAUUACGAGGAUGAGGGGUGAUGAAGUGGACAGGUGAGAGUUCUGUGGAAAGUCAGUUGUGUUGGAUGGAGUUUUGUUGGGACAAACACAUGAAGGGACGUUUCAUUAAAGUGGACACAGGUGUGAAAGGCCAAGGCAGACUUGUGAAGGGAUGUUUUUGCUGAAGCAGACACAGGAGAGGGGAUGCAAACUUGUGAAAGGACACAUAAUGAAGCAUUCUUUGCUAACAGCACGCAUGCAUUGGUCCACCUUAUGUUGCACCGUUGAGCUGCAUUUGUUGGGACUCCAUAGAGAGAAAUGUACCAAAAACCUUCUGGUGGCUGCUGCAGGUUCUUGCUGCUUCUGUGGAUUCAGGCUGAGUGGCAGAGUGACGUCAGCUGAGACAGAUGCGCGUGCAGAGGCAAGACACGUGGAGGAGACCUGACGUUCAGAGAGAAUAUAAAAGGAUUCGACGGACAGCGAUGGGGGCUGAGCCAGGCUUGCUGGUCGUGUGGGUCUUAGGCCUUAGUUGAACUUCGCUUUCCUGAGAGAGGCACAGCCGAGAGCUUCUGGCAUUCCUCCUGAUCCCUCCUGCUGAAUGGAGCCGCUGAGGCUGAGGCCUGGCUGUCUCUGCUAGGGAGUGCCACUGCUGCUGACUCCCGUUGGCAAUCCUGACUCUAUCAAACUGGACUGCUGGUGCAUCUGUGAGGUGUUUGCAAGUAGAUGGAGCUCCUGCCGCUCACCUGUGAACUGAACUGCCGAUUUCCAUACAACGCAGACGGGAGUUGCUCCAAAGAACCUUUCUAAACAGGUACACACACACACACACACACACACACACACACACACACACACACACACCGUGUGUCCUCCCCAUCCUUUCUUUCCCACUACCUCUGGUGGGUGGUGGGCUACAGGGAGGUUAAAAAGUAUUUAAAAAACCAUCAUUAGAAGUAGGUUUUUUAAAAAUUAAAGCUCAGGGUUCAGCUUGCACUUAUUAGUCAGCUCUCAGUACCCUAGAGCUGGAGACAGGAGACUGCCCUGAGGGGGCUAAAUAGGCAGCUCCGAGGGUUCACUGUAGUAGUUGGAACACCCCGCCCCCUUCUUCUUUCAGGCUUCACUCAGGGCCCUCAUGCUACAGUCACAUGCUUCUCUCUUGAGAUAGGGGGAAUUCAUGGACAUGCGUGUAAGGCGUGUGUGCUCUUACACAUGUGUAAGACAUGGGGUGCCCUCUAACUUAUUGCCUUGAGGCAGGCUCUCUGUCUGGACUGGAAUCUCAUCAUAUAGGCUCUACUAGCCGUGCAGUGAGUUCUUGGGGCUCCCCGGGCCUCAUGUCUUCAAUACCAGAGUUAUAGGCACAGCCAUGCAUACAGAGCAAGUGUCUUACCCCCUGGGUCAUCUCCCCAGGCCCCUGUCUGGUGGUCCAUUGUCCCUUAGUUGCGUCUGACAUAUCACCCUGUCCACUGGGACUGGUCUCAGCUCCAAGCACCAGCUCUGUUCCCUCUCAGAGGGCCAGGGGAUAAGGGAAUUUCCCCUAUUGAGGUUUUGCGUCACCUUUAAGCCGUGGGGAGUGGGGAGGCCAAUAUUCUGCUCACUGGUUCUUGGAGACUUGAAUUAGCGGGACAUUGGCUGGGGCUGGGACAUGGCUCCACGGCAUCCGUUUGCACUGAGCUGUGACCACAUCCAUCCAUCCAUCCAUUUGCCACCACGAGUUUCUGUGACCACACCAUGCUCACUGAUGGUCUUCCAACUCACCCCUGGGGAGAUGGGAGCUUUCAGCCUGUGGAUCCUGAGCAAACCCUGCUUCCUUUCUGCUCCAGGAAACAAACCGGAGAGCCACAAAAGGCUGGGCCCCAAGGAAGGGGCAGAGUCCCUAGGCUACCCCUACUCUAGUGUCACCCCGUGUAACCCUGCUCUGCCUGGCUGCUGAUGCUCCCUCCCAGGUCAACCCAACAUCCCCACCUUCAAGAUGACUGAGAGAACAGCUUCUUCUUGAAACCUCUGGACACAGAGCAUGUCCACCUCAUGCAUCUGUACAGCUUCUGUGUCCGAGCCUCCUGCAGAAAGACAGAGAAGGAUCCGUGUCCUAGACUAAACUGAGAUUUAUUUUUGGAGUCUCAGGGCCAAGGUCUCCCUUUAGUGGCCAGCAGACAUGGGCGGCAGUCACAGCCUACCUUCUGAAGCCCAUCAAAGUGGUUGGAAGCUGGGCUAGCUCCCAGCAGGGAUACCAGUGUCUCAGCCUUGAUGGGGAGAAAGGCAUGAGGCUGUAGAGCCAGGGGACACAGUCUAAAGCCUUGUGGGGGCUUGGGAUGCGGCUCAGUUGGGAGUGCUUGCCUAGAAGCACAGCGCCCUGGUUUGCGUCCCAGCACUGUGUGAAGCAGGCACAGUGGUACACGCCUGUCCUCCCAGCGCUCAGGAGGGAAACAGGAACUUCAGAAGAGCAGUAGCAUCCUUUCCCUGGGGCCAUAAAUAGAACCGGGUAUGGUGGUGCAUGCCUUUAAUUCCAACCAAAGUAGGUAGAUCUCAGAGUUGGAGGCCAGUCGGGGCUGUGUCUCGAUACCUCGUCUCAAAAUAAUACCUCGUCUCAAAGUGGUGUGAGAACUGCCCAUGGGGUGGCCAAAUGCAAGAAGCCUCAGAAUUCAAGAUAAAUUCGGUACUGAGUGGGGGUGGGGCUCUGAGUUCCAAGUAGAGAAUCCAGGGGCCACACUCUACACCCAGCCCUGCGCUCACUGCUCCCAAGGGGACUUGGAAGCUUAGAUGCCCAUGUGUACAGAAUCUGUAUGGAGGAAACGGUGUGUGUGUGUGUGGGGGGGGUCACUGAACUAAGACCCUCUCUAGGAGCAAGGGACCAUGGCAGCUAUGUUGGAGAGAGCUGGGCAACGCGCUGAGGAGCCUGGGUGCUACAGACCACUGCAGCCCGUGUCCCAGUGAGCUCACCACAGACCCCAGCCCAGGCCUACCUCAGGAGACUGUGAGAGUUAUAGUCUGCAAGACAGCAAGCCGACCAGCCCCACACCUACCUCCACUAAUCCACCAUCAGCUCAGUCACACCAGGUCACAUGCUGCGUGCAAUGCUUAGAAACUCCCAGCUAAGCAAGUGCCUGACUUCCAGCUGGGAAAGCAGUUUGUGUACACAAGCUCCUAUGUGUGCGGAUGCGGAUGCCGGGGCAAGCCAGAAGAGAUCGGUGAAUCUCCCAGAGCUGGAGUUCCAGAUGACGUUCGCCCAGUAGCUCUGCAAAGGCCACAAGCAUCGUUGCCCACUGAGCAUCUUUUCAGUCCUCCAUCAACUUCUGAAAACAUCAUUUUAUGGACACAAGUGUAUGUGCACCGAACGAGUUCAAGGCCUGCAGAGGCCAGAAGAGGAGGCUGUCAGAUCCCCUGAAACUACAGUAUAGAUAGUUGAGUUGUGAAUUACCUUGUGGGUGCUGAGAAACAAACCCAGGUCCUCUGGAAGAACAGCAAGUGCACUAAACAACUGCGUAUUCCACACACACCCUUUUAAGAUGGGGUCCUGCCCCACCCCACCCCAUCCCACCCCGCUGGCCUGCAGCUCACUAGAUAGCCUAGGCUGACUGGCUAGCAAGUCUGUCUCUGUUACCUGGGGGCAUGCUCGCCCAUGUGUGCGUGCGUGUUUAAUGUCAGACCUGGGAUUAUGACGCUGCCUGGAUUCUCUUUCUGUGGAGACUUCAUGCUUGUUGCACACGUGUCUCCCAGCCUGGAAAUCUGUGUUGGCCGAGAGAAUAAAUAGUAUGAGAACAGCCAUCAUU